Molecule: unclassified non-coding RNA, 400 nt
Filed under: Hevea brasiliensis (rubber tree)
Lineage: Eukaryota; Viridiplantae; Streptophyta; Magnoliopsida; Malpighiales; Euphorbiaceae
Source: RNAcentral
GAAGAAGAAGAAGAAGAAGCAACACCAGAAAACCACAGAAAUGGUGAAGGAUAGGAAGAUCGGAGUGGCUCUGGAUUUCUCCAACAGCAGCAAGAAUGCUCUCAAAUGGGCCAUCGACAACUUAGCCGACAAGGGCGACACUCUCUUCAUCAUCUACGUUAACCCCCAUUCACUCAACGAAUCUGCUCAUCAUCUCUGGGCAGAAUCCGGUUCUCCGCUGAUUCCGUUGUCGGAAUUCCGAGAGCCUGAUGUUUUGAAGAAGUACGAUGUCAAAAUCGACAUCGAAGCCCUCGAUAUUCUCGACACUGGAGCUAGACAGAAAGAGAUUACGGUUGUGUCGAAGCUGUACUGGGGAGAUGCGAGGGAGAAGAUUAUCGAUGCAAUCGAAGAUCUGAAGCUG